This 2772-nucleotide ribosomal RNA is filed under the name Escherichia coli. RNAcentral describes it as "partial 23S ribosomal RNA". It matches the Rfam family "Bacterial large subunit ribosomal RNA". The record is from RNAcentral. Lineage: Bacteria; Pseudomonadati; Pseudomonadota; Gammaproteobacteria; Enterobacterales; Enterobacteriaceae.
GGUUAAGCGACUAAGCGUACACGGUGGAUGCCCUGGCAGUCAGAGGCGAUGAAGGACGUGCUAAUCUGCGAUAAGCGUCGGUAAGGUGAUAUGAACCGUUAUAACCGGCGAUUUCCGAAUGGGGAAACCCAGUGUGAUUCGUCACACUAUCAUUAACUGAAUCCAUAGGUUAAUGAGGCGAACCGGGGGAACUGAAACAUCUAAGUACCCCGAGGAAAAGAAAUCAACCGAGAUUCCCCCAGUAGCGGCGAGCGAACGGGGAGCAGCCCAGAGCCUGAAUCAGUGUGUGUGUUAGUGGAAGCGUCUGGAAAGGCGCGCGAUACAGGGUGACAGCCCCGUACACAAAAAUGCACAUGCUGUGAGCUCGAUGAGUAGGGCGGGACACGUGGUAUCCUGUCUGAAUAUGGGGGGACCAUCCUCCAAGGCUAAAUACUCCUGACUGACCGAUAGUGAACCAGUACCGUGAGGGAAAGGCGAAAAGAACCCCGGCGAGGGGAGUGAAAAAGAACCUGAAACCGUGUACGUACAAGCAGUGGGAGCACGCUUAGGCGUGUGACUGCGUACCUUUUGUAUAAUGGGUCAGCGACUUAUAUUCUGUAGCAAGGUUAACCGAAUAGGGGAGCCGAAGGGAAACCGAGUCUUAACUGGGCGUUAAGUUGCAGGGUAUAGACCCGAAACCCGGUGAUCUAGCCAUGGGCAGGUUGAAGGUUGGGUAACACUAACUGGAGGACCGAACCGACUAAUGUUGAAAAAUUAGCGGAUGACUUGUGGCUGGGGGUGAAAGGCCAAUCAAACCGGGAGAUAGCUGGUUCUCCCCGAAAGCUAUUUAGGUAGCGCCUCGUGAAUUCAUCUCCGGGGGUAGAGCACUGUUUCGGCAAGGGGGUCAUCCCGACUUACCAACCCGAUGCAAACUGCGAAUACCGGAGAAUGUUAUCACGGGAGACACACGGCGGGUGCUAACGUCCGUCGUGAAGAGGGAAACAACCCAGACCGCCAGCUAAGGUCCCAAAGUCAUGGUUAAGUGGGAAACGAUGUGGGAAGGCCCAGACAGCCAGGAUGUUGGCUUAGAAGCAGCCAUCAUUUAAAGAAAGCGUAAUAGCUCACUGGUCGAGUCGGCCUGCGCGGAAGAUGUAACGGGGCUAAACCAUGCACCGAAGCUGCGGCAGCGACGCUUAUGCGUUGUUGGGUAGGGGAGCGUUCUGUAAGCCUGCGAAGGUGUGCUGUGAGGCAUGCUGGAGGUAUCAGAAGUGCGAAUGCUGACAUAAGUAACGAUAAAGCGGGUGAAAAGCCCGCUCGCCGGAAGACCAAGGGUUCCUGUCCAACGUUAAUCGGGGCAGGGUGAGUCGACCCCUAAGGCGAGGCCGAAAGGCGUAGUCGAUGGGAAACAGGUUAAUAUUCCUGUACUUGGUGUUACUGCGAAGGGGGGACGGAGAAGGCUAUGUUGGCCGGGCGACGGUUGUCCCGGUUUAAGCGUGUAGGCUGGUUUUCCAGGCAAAUCCGGAAAAUCAAGGCUGAGGCGUGAUGACGAGGCACUACGGUGCUGAAGCAACAAAUGCCCUGCUUCCAGGAAAAGCCUCUAAGCAUCAGGUAACAUCAAAUCGUACCCCAAACCGACACAGGUGGUCAGGUAGAGAAUACCAAGGCGCUUGAGAGAACUCGGGUGAAGGAACUAGGCAAAAUGGUGCCGUAACUUCGGGAGAAGGCACGCUGAUAUGUAGGUGAAGUCCCUCGCGGAUGGAGCUGAAAUCAGUCGAAGAUACCAGCUGGCUGCAACUGUUUAUUAAAAACACAGCACUGUGCAAACACGAAAGUGGACGUAUACGGUGUGACGCCUGCCCGGUGCCGGAAGGUUAAUUGAUGGGGUUAGCGCAAGCGAAGCUCUUGAUCGAAGCCCCGGUAAACGGCGGCCGUAACUAUAACGGUCCUAAGGUAGCGAAAUUCCUUGUCGGGUAAGUUCCGACCUGCACGAAUGGCGUAAUGAUGGCCAGGCUGUCUCCACCCGAGACUCAGUGAAAUUGAACUCGCUGUGAAGAUGCAGUGUACCCGCGGCAAGACGGAAAGACCCCGUGAACCUUUACUAUAGCUUGACACUGAACAUUGAGCCUUGAUGUGUAGGAUAGGUGGGAGGCUUUGAAGUGUGGACGCCAGUCUGCAUGGAGCCGACCUUGAAAUACCACCCUUUAAUGUUUGAUGUUCUAACGUGGACCCGUAAUCCGGGUUGCGGACAGUGUCUGGUGGGUAGUUUGACUGGGGCGGUCUCCUCCUAAAGAGUAACGGAGGAGCACGAAGGUUGGCUAAUCCUGGUCGGACAUCAGGAGGUUAGUGCAAUGGCAUAAGCCAGCUUGACUGCGAGCGUGACGGCGCGAGCAGGUGCGAAAGCAGGUCAUAGUGAUCCGGUGGUUCUGAAUGGAAGGGCCAUCGCUCAACGGAUAAAAGGUACUCCGGGGAUAACAGGCUGAUACCGCCCAAGAGUUCAUAUCGACGGCGGUGUUUGGCACCUCGAUGUCGGCUCAUCACAUCCUGGGGCUGAAGUAGGUCCCAAGGGUAUGGCUGUUCGCCAUUUAAAGUGGUACGCGAGCUGGGUUUAGAACGUCGUGAGACAGUUCGGUCCCUAUCUGCCGUGGGCGCUGGAGAACUGAGGGGGGCUGCUCCUAGUACGAGAGGACCGGAGUGGACGCAUCACUGGUGUUCGGGUUGUCAUGCCAAUGGCACUGCCCGGUAGCUAAAUGCGGAAGAGAUAAGUGCUGAAAGCAUCUAAGCACGAAACUUGCC